UGAGCAUGGGAUAUUUGCUGUGUCAUGGGAACAGACAUGUUGACAGACGGGACUGAGGGGUUGUUGAAUAAAUGUGGACGGGAGUCAAGGAGGAAGCAUGGAGAGCGUAUAGGAAUAGGGAACAGGUGAAAAAGAAAAAGCUGGGUCGUUUUAUAGCCACGGCUGCAGUGGUUGCUUUGAAACUGGUGGAGGAGGAAUGUCAGGCGGAGGUGGGGGAGUGGACUCUUCUGUGGGACUGGAUCGCUGUGCGUGCUAUGGAGAGUUUGGACGCUGGAAGUGAGACUGCCCUGGGGGGGAAAGUGCCAUGAGCUGGCUCCGGUGACUGAAUUGGAACUGGACUGAGAGGGACCUGGGGAAUCUACCCUAGCAGAUCCACUGGUUAAAUUAAAACUAGGGACUAGAGGAAAUAAAGUGGAAUUUUAGUGGAUACAGGAGCAACUUAUUCGGUCUUAAAUCAGAGAGAAAAGAAAUUGUUACAGAUGUGGGAGCUACUGGCCACCAAGAAAAAAGAGAAAAGAAAGAAGAGGCAUUCUUUCUGAAACCUUUAAAGUACAAAUUGGGAAAACAAAUAUGAAUGCAUAAAUUUUUAUGCAUGCCAAAUUCUCUGAAAACUUUAUUAGGGUGAGAAGCAACAUUUAAGAAAGCAAAAUGGAAUUUAGAGUUAAAAACAAUCAAUUAAUUGCAGUUUUGAGUUUAUCUUUAAUUUAGCAGAAAAGCAAACAGGAGGACCUCCCUGAAAUAGAAGAAAAUCUUAAUCAGGUAUAUCUGGGAGUAUGGGCAUCUGAAGUUCCAGAGAUCCUCUACAGGAGAAGUGGAGUGGACCGUACCGGAUGUUAUUGACCACCUUUACAGCAGUGAAGAUAAAGGAACAACCUGCUUGGAUACAUUAUUCAAGAACAAAGGAAGCACCAGAGCCAGAGAAGACAUGGCAAAUCGAACCUUCAGGACACUUACAUAUGAAAUUGCAUCGGUCAUAAUUUGGACUCACAUGAUAACUGGUGCACAAGCUUGGGACCAGAAUUUAUACCUGAAAUUAGUGCAGAAUGUUACUAAGGUUUUAAUCGUAGUGACUGUUGGGUGUGUGCACAAUUGCCUACAUCAGGAGAAAAUCCAGACCUUCCAUUAAUUGGAGUUCCAGUUCCUAACACUAUCUCAUGGACAAAUUUGUGGGUGAACACUAGCAAUCUGCAUCCAAGGGAAAGGCUAAAAUUUGGAAUAGUUAAUCCUAAUCCAGGUAAUAAAUAUUAUACCUGUGCACAAAGAUGUAUUACAUCAGGAACCAGAGUAUGAGAGUAUGUUAGUUUAAAUGCCCCA
Pezoporus occidentalis (night parrot) is the source of this 1314-nucleotide long non-coding RNA. RefSeq lists it as uncharacterized. The transcript has 3 exons. The record is from RefSeq and is a predicted model, not a curated record. NCBI's taxonomy places the organism in Eukaryota, Metazoa, Chordata, Aves, Psittaciformes, Psittacidae.